Molecule: ribosomal RNA, 500 nt
Filed under: uncultured bacterium
Lineage: Bacteria
Description: partial 16S ribosomal RNA
Rfam family: Bacterial small subunit ribosomal RNA
Source: RNAcentral
GACGAACGCUGGCGGCGUGCCUAAUACAUGCAAGUCGAGCGGACUGAUCAAGAGCUUGCUCUUAUGACGUUAGCGGCGGACGGGUGAGUAACAUGUGGGCAACCUGCCCGGUAGAGCGGGAUAACACCGAGAAAUCGGUUCUUAUACCGGGGGAUAUCUGACAUCACAUUGGGUGAGGGUAAAAUAUGGCUCCUGCUAUCACAACAGGAUGGGCCCGCGGCGCAUUAGCGAUUUGGUAAGGUAAUGGCUUACCAAGGUGACGAUGCGUAGCCGACCUGGGGGGGUGAGCGGCCACACCGGGACUGAGAACCGGCCCAGACUCCUACGGGAGGCAGCAGUAGGGAAUCUUCCGCACUGGACGAAAGUCUGACGGAGCAACGCCGCGUGCGUGAUGAAGCGUUUCGGCUCGUAAAGCUCUGUUGUUAGGGAAGAAACAGUACCGAACGAACUAGGUCGGUACAUUGACGGUACCUAAUCAGAAAGCCACGGCUAACUACGUG